This 86-nucleotide transfer RNA is filed under the name human gut metagenome. It matches the Rfam family "tRNA". Rfam says of the family: Transfer RNA (tRNA) molecules are approximately 80 nucleotides in length. Their secondary structure includes four short double-helical elements and three loops (D, anti-codon, and T loops). The record is from RNAcentral.
GAGAAAUACCCAAGCGGUUGAAGGGGUCGGUCUUGAAAACCGAUAGUAGGUGCAAGCCUAGCGAGGGUUCGAAUCCCUCUUUCUCC